CAAACCUGUACAGGAGGAACCUGAGGAACUCUCCGAUAGUGACUUUGAAAGUCCUGUGGGCUGGAGAAGGAGAGUUCAUACAGUGUCACCUUCCACAAGUGAAAGUGAGCUCAUCAGUCAAGGGAGUGAAAAUGACAGACUGCAAGAAAGUCCAUCGCAUCAAAGAACCCUGUUUAUCUGGAAGAAGAUGAGGCUCUUGAAGAGGCAAUUCAGCGC
Molecule: long non-coding RNA, 216 nt
Organism: Perca fluviatilis (European perch)
Lineage: Eukaryota; Metazoa; Chordata; Actinopteri; Perciformes; Percidae
Exons: 4
Source: RefSeq, a predicted model, not a curated record